This 468-nucleotide ribosomal RNA is filed under the name uncultured bacterium. RNAcentral's name for it is "partial 16S ribosomal RNA". It matches the Rfam family "Bacterial small subunit ribosomal RNA", at positions 28 to 507 of the family's 1533-position model. The record is from RNAcentral.
GACGAACGCUGGCGGCGUGCUUAACACAUGCAAGUCGAACGGAAAGGCCCUGCUUUUGUGGGGUGCUCGAGUGGCGAACGGGUGAGUAACACGUGAGUAACCUGCCCUUGACUUUGGGAUAACUUCAGGAAACUGGGGCUAAUACCGGAUAGGAGCUCCUGCUGCAUGGUGGGGGUUGGAAAGUUUCGGCGGUUGGGGAUGGACUCGCGGCUUAUCAGCUUGUUGGUGGGGUAGUGGCUUACCAAGGCUUUGACGGGUAGCCGGCCUGAGAGGGUGACCGGCCACAUUGGGACUGAGAUACGGCCCAGACUGCUACGGGAGGCAGCAGUGGGGAAUAUUGCACAAUGGGCGGAAGCCUGAUGCAGCAACGCCGCGUGCGGGAUGACGGCCUUCGGGUUGUAAACCGCUUUAGCCUGUGACGAAGCGUGAGUGACGGUAAUGGGUAAAGAAGCACCGGCUAACUACGUG